UGCCUUACAGCUAGCCCGUCCAAAUAAAAGAAACAUAUCACAUUAAUAACCCCUAAUACGCUUAACACCAACUAAACAAAUCAUUUUACCCCCUUAGUAUGGGCGACAGAAAAG
Molecule: ribosomal RNA, 114 nt
Filed under: Upeneus japonicus (Bensasi goatfish)
Lineage: Eukaryota; Metazoa; Chordata; Actinopteri; Syngnathiformes; Mullidae
Description: partial 16S ribosomal RNA
Source: RNAcentral